Molecule: long non-coding RNA, 228 nt
Filed under: Gallus gallus (chicken)
Lineage: Eukaryota; Metazoa; Chordata; Aves; Galliformes; Phasianidae
Source: RNAcentral
CAAUGAAGUUUGCACUAAAGCCUGAGACCAGAGCAAUGUGGGUUACAGCAGUCUGCGGUCGCACUCUCUCUUGGCACAUGCCUGCACCGGGCGAUCCACGCUCCUUCCCUCACACGCUCGUGGCACAUCCUCGGGCUCGCAGGGCCGUGCUACGGUGGUUGCAGGGGACGGCGCUGCCCGCGACGUCCCGGCCCUUCACCGGGCAGCUCCACGACCCCACGGUGCGUG